Molecule: long non-coding RNA, 1595 nt
Filed under: Pogona vitticeps (central bearded dragon)
Lineage: Eukaryota; Metazoa; Chordata; Lepidosauria; Squamata; Agamidae
Description: lncRNA (ENSPVIG00000016634.1)
Source: RNAcentral
GCACCUCUGACUGCAGUGGAAACCAAAGCACCAGCCAACUGCCCCCCUCCCAUCAUACCUUACAGCAAAAAAUAUACUGUACUAAAUGUCCACAUCACUGCCACUUAGCCCUGUCAAAGCUGAGACUAGUUUUCAUUCAAAAGUUGGUGGUUGCUCUGCUGGGUUCCAGAGCCUGGGUCUGUUUACGUGGUUGCCGCAGCAACGCUGUUCCGAGCCAGCCCAGGGCUACUGGUCAUUCGUGCUCUGGACCUGGUCGCUGACAGAAGGAGCUUCAGAUUUUAGGACAGAAAAUACUGUAUAUCCAGGUUCACCAGUGCUUUCUUGAGAUGCUCUCAGGUUGGCUUCCGGAUGACAUGAUGAACUUGGGGGGGGGCUAUGAACAUUUGCCUUUCACUGAAUCAUUUGGAGUGGGAGGGGCUUUAGUCUUGGAUUGCGUACUUCAGAUUCAUAGUAGCUCUCCAGAAUGUCCCCUCUAAAGCCUUCAGAAAUGGAGAUCCCAAGGGCUGGACCUCUAUCUUUUCAUAUCCAGAGAUCCCAGGAAUUGAUUACCAAGCAGGUGUCAUUCCUCUGAGCAGCAGAGAGAGACUCCGCACAACUAUGGCCUUGUGUAAAGGACAGAAUUUGGGCACAGCUCCUUCUCAUACUGGGGAGCUGUCCAAAUCCUCUGAAAGGCAUAUCUAUAAGAAGGUUCAGGAAAUCCCUCUUCUAUUCCUAAAGCUCACCUUGUCCUACAUACAGAGCUUGUAAAAGCUACUUUUUGGGUGACGGUUUCCCAACGCCAGCCCUAAAUCUGGCUAAGAAAUACUAGGAAUUCUUGUAGAAUCAUAUAAUUAUCAUUUCUGUUGGUUGAUUCCUGGAGCCCAGUACUUAUGAGUUGCUGGAGAGCAAAGGACGGGAGGUGAUGGUUGUCUGCAUAGUCUGCCUGAUGCUUUCAUGGAGCACCUCUGAAAACAGGAGUCAGGGCUAGUUGCUGGAGUGAUGGUUUCAUCCUGUGGGGUUUUUAUGCCUUCAGUUUCUGAACUGCAGUGUCCUCAUUUCAGUGUCACUGAGCUGCAACAACAGGAGUGCAAAGAGGAGCAGCCACCACGUGAGACCAGUCCAGUGGAGUCUACAGCAUCUUGGGAUUUGAUGGAGAUGGAAGCCCCAGACAGCAGAUGGAGUGGCCCUGAAGACUUGGUUUCUGACCUUCCAUCUGCUUCAGAAAGGCAAAUCAGCAGAGGGAUAGGAAGGGGUGCUCUGGUUUGGUCCAUAUACACCCCCAGACUUCUUCUCCACAUCAGAGCUAGGGCAAUGGCUAGGAUUCUCUGGCAAGUGCCCGAUGAUUUCUGCCUAGCUUUCUAGCUCAAUCGCUGGAAAAAUAGCUGGCAUUUGGCCAACCUCAUCACAGCUAACAUGUGUCAUACCUCGUUCAUGGAUACAGUAAGGAAAGGGAUCUCUGUAUUCAGAGAUGUCUGUCUGUCUGUCUGUCUGUCUGUCCAUCCGUCUGUUCAUUCAUGUAAUUUGUAUCCCACUCUCAUUAGUAUCACAGCACUACUAUGGGUAGGUUACAACACGUAAAAUAGGAAACAAAAAUAAAAAUAGAUACGUUAAAACCA